AUGCUGCCAGAGCCAGAGCCCAGGCCUGGUGCUCCUUCCUGGUCCUCUGCCCUCCUCACAGCACUUCUCACCGUGCCUGUCCCUUCUGUGCUCCUGCCCAGGUCCUUCUGCUGGGAGCACCACCCUUGGCAGGCAGCGGAGGCAGCUCCAUCUCAGGACACCAUCUGCGUCAUCUGCCUGGAGCCCGUGGGGGACAGCACGUCCUACCACACCAUGGUGUGCCCAGUGUGCAAACAGGCCUCGUUCCACCGGGGCUGCAUCAGGAAACAGGCCAUGCAUGCUGCCAUCCUGUGCUACUUCUGCCCCGUCUGCAGUGAAAAGGCGUGAUUCUGCUCAGAAAUGACCAUCAUGGGAAUCCAAACCCCAGUCAGGUUGGUGUCCUUCUGCCCAGCUCUGCAGACACUCAGGCACAGGUGCUGUGCCUGCCCAGGCCUGGGUCUUUGCUGUCCUGUGAGCACUGGUCUCAGCUUCAUGGAGAAGCUGGGAAUGAGCUCAAGGUGGAUGAGCAGGGAUGCCCUGGAUCUGCCUCGCGCCUAGGGCGCCGGGGGCUCGUCACUUUCCCUCCUUUCUCUGGCAGACAACCAGCUUGGUGGGAUGACAAAACAUAGCCAUCUCUGCGAGAGAGGCACAGGCGCUGCGAUGCCAGCGAGUGCCUUUACCAAGAAGGCAGGGAAGAGACAGAGGAAGAGGGGUGAGUGACCUCUGCAGUCUUCUGGGGCUCUCUGUGGGAUCUCAGCCUCACCACAGGCUGGGGGAGCAAGGAUUGAGCACCAGAGCUGUGCUGGCUACUCCCUGCCUCGGCUUGCUUCGUCCUCACAGCCACAACCCGUUUGCUUCCCCUGGCAGCUGCUCCUCUGCAGCUAGUGUGCCGCAGAAGGCACCCACCGGCACUGAUCUUCCUUGGCCUCCAGCACAAGCACCUGGGAGUGCGACACCUGCACUGGCUUGUGCACCGGUAAGAGGCAAAGAGCCGCAUGCUGCUGGACUGGGGCCAGGCAAGGCCUGGCAGCGGGUGCUCAGAGCAGCCUUGCCACAGACUCUCUGUCCCAUGAGGGAUGGCAGCCUGUCCUGCCCUGGGGCUGCAGGUUCAUCCUGCUGACCUUCCUGUCUCUCCUUACAGCCUCCCACACUGACUCUGAGCUUGCCGGCCCCAGCACUUUCAGUCAGGAGGCACCAGGGCCAUCCCACAGCAUUUCAGGACCUGAAAACAUCAGCUCUGGCCCCACCAGCCAGGCAGCAUCGGGCCCGUCAUGCAG
Molecule: long non-coding RNA, 1256 nt
Filed under: Numida meleagris (helmeted guineafowl)
Lineage: Eukaryota; Metazoa; Chordata; Aves; Galliformes; Numididae
Description: lncRNA (ENSNMEG00000004601.1)
Source: RNAcentral